Molecule: long non-coding RNA, 275 nt
Organism: Erigeron canadensis
Lineage: Eukaryota; Viridiplantae; Streptophyta; Magnoliopsida; Asterales; Asteraceae
Exons: 3
Source: RefSeq, a predicted model, not a curated record
CAUGUACUCAAAAAAGAAAGAGUAGUAAAAAGAUGGAAGAUCGAGCCCCAUAUGACUGGAACAAAAUCAUUUCCCAUAUUGCUCAUAAAGCGGAGAUUCAAAAUCACAGAGUAAGCUUAACACGAAGAAAGCUAUAUAUAAUAAACCGCACUCGUGAUAAUGGAAGUACUACGGAUGAUAAGGCUGCUCAAGUUGUGGAGGAAGUAGCUAGUGAUGUUCUUUUAGAGAGUUAGAAGAGUUCUAUUUUGCAUGUGGCCCGGAAAAGAUGCUGAUCC